GACGAACGCUGGCGGCGUGCCUAACACAUGCAAGUCGAACGGAACUGUUUUGAAAGAUUUCUUCGGAAUGAAUUUGAUUUAGUUUAGUGGCGGACGGGUGAGUAACGCGUGAGUAACCUGCCUUCAAGAGGGGGAUAACAUUCUGAAAAGAAUGCUAAUACCGCAUGACAUAUCGGAAUCACAUGAUUUUGAUAUCAAAGAUUUUAUCGCUUGAAGAUGGACUCGCGUCCGAUUAGUUAGUUGGUGAGGUAACGGCUCACCAAGACCGCGAUCGGUAGCCGGACUGAGAGGUUGAACGGCCACAUUGGGACUGAGACACGGCCCAGACUCCUACGGGAGGCAGCAGUGGGGGAUAUUGCGCAAUGGGGGCAACCCUGACGCAGCAACGCCGCGUGAAGGAUGAAGGUUUUCGGAUUGUAAACUUCUUUUAUUAAGGACGAAACUU
RNAcentral lists this ribosomal RNA (445 nucleotides) under uncultured bacterium. Its description in RNAcentral is "bacterial SSU rRNA". It matches the Rfam family "Bacterial small subunit ribosomal RNA", at positions 28 to 453 of the family's 1533-position model. The record is from RNAcentral.